Molecule: ribosomal RNA, 253 nt
Filed under: uncultured bacterium
Lineage: Bacteria
Description: partial 16S ribosomal RNA
Rfam family: Bacterial small subunit ribosomal RNA
Source: RNAcentral
UACGGGGGGAGCAAGCGUUGUUCGGAUUUACUGGGCGUAAAGGGCGCGUAGGCGGCUUUUCAAGUGACGGGUGAAAUCCCUCGGCUUAACCGAGGAACUGCCUGUCAGACUGGAAGGCUUGAGACCGGGAGAGGUGAGUGGAAUUCCCAGUGUAGCGGUGAAAUGCGUAGAUAUUGGGAGGAACACCAGUGGCGAAGGCGGCUCACUGGACCGGAACUGACGCUGAGGCGCGAAAGCGUGGGGAGCAAACAGG